This is a non-coding RNA of Felis catus (domestic cat), 85 nucleotides long. The record is from Rfam. NCBI's taxonomy places the organism in Eukaryota, Metazoa, Chordata, Mammalia, Carnivora, Felidae.
GCCUGGGUGGCUCAGUCGGUUGAGCGUGCGACUUCGGCUCAGGUCAUGAUCUCAUGGUUCGUGGGUUCGAGCCCCGCGUCGGGCU